CCGGUAAACGGCGGCCGUAACUAUAACGGUCCUAAGGUAGCGAAAUUCCUUGUCGGGUAAGUUCCGACCUGCACGAAUGGCGUAAUGAUGGCCAGGCUGUCUCCACCCGAGACUCAGUGAAAUUGAACUCGCUGUGAAGAUGCAGUGUACCCGCGGCAAGACGGAAAGACCCCGUGAACCUUUACUAUAGCUUGACACUGAACAUUGAGCCUUGAUGUGUAGGAUAGGUGGGAGGCUUUGAAGUGUGGACGCCAGUCUGCAUGGAGCCGACCUUGAAAUACCACCCUUUAAUGUUUGAUGUUCUAACGUUGGCCCGUAAUCCGGGUUGCGGACAGUGUCUGGUGGGUAGUUUGACUGGGGCGGUCUCCUCCUAAAGAGUAACGGAGGAGCACGAAGGUUGGCUAAUCCUGGUCGGACAUCAGGAGGUUAGUGCAAUGGCAUAAGCCAGCUUGACUGCGAGCGUGACGGCGCGAGCAGGUGCGAAAGCAGGUCAUAGUGAUCCGGUGGUUCUGAAUGGAAGGGCCAUCGCUCAACGGAUAAAAGGUACUCCGGGGAUAACAGGCUGAUACCGCCCAAGAGUUCAUAUCGACGGCGGUGUUUGGCACCUCGAUGUCGGCUCAUCACAUCCUGGGGCUGAAGUAGGUCCCAAGGGUAUGGCUGUUCGCCAUUUAAAGUGGUACGCGAGCUGGGUUUAGAACGUCGUGAGACAGUUCGGUCCCUAUCUGCCGUGGGCGCUGGAGAACUGAGGGGGGCUGCUCCUAGUACGAGAGGACCGGAGUGGACGCAUCACUGGUGUUCGGGUUGUCAUGCCAAUGGCACUGCCCGGUAGCUAAAUGCGGAAGAGAUAAGUGCUGAAAGCAUCUAA
Molecule: ribosomal RNA, 865 nt
Filed under: Escherichia coli
Lineage: Bacteria; Pseudomonadati; Pseudomonadota; Gammaproteobacteria; Enterobacterales; Enterobacteriaceae
Description: partial 23S ribosomal RNA
Rfam family: Bacterial large subunit ribosomal RNA
Source: RNAcentral